Molecule: transfer RNA, 87 nt
Filed under: Dactylellina haptotyla CBS 200.50
Lineage: Eukaryota; Fungi; Ascomycota; Orbiliomycetes; Orbiliales; Orbiliaceae
Rfam family: tRNA
About the family: Transfer RNA (tRNA) molecules are approximately 80 nucleotides in length. Their secondary structure includes four short double-helical elements and three loops (D, anti-codon, and T loops). Further hydrogen bonds mediate the characteristic L-shaped molecular structure. tRNAs have two regions of fundamental functional importance: the anti-codon, which is responsible for specific mRNA codon recognition, and the 3' end, to which the tRNAs corresponding amino acid is attached (by aminoacyl-tRNA synthetases). tRNAs cope with the degeneracy of the genetic code in two manners: having more than one tRNA (with a specific anti-codon) for a particular amino acid; and 'wobble' base-pairing, i.e. permitting non-standard base-pairing at the 3rd anti-codon position.
Source: Rfam by way of RNAcentral
GGGGUUAUAGCUCAGUUGGUAGAGCGCUUGCUUAGCGUAAUUGCUACGGCAUGCAUGAGGUCUUGGGUUCAAUUCCCAAUAACUCCA